CGCCGAAAAUGAACGGGGCUAAAACGAUCUGCCGAAGCUGCGGGUUUUAACUACUGUUAAAGCAGUAGGGGAGCGUUGUGUACCGGGUUGAAGGGAAGGUGGAAACCGACCUGGACUGUACACAAGUGAUUAUGCAGACAUGAGUAACGAUAAGAGUGGUGAGAAUCCACUCCGCCGAAAUCCUAAGGAUUCCUGGGGAAGGUUCGUCCGCCCAGGGUUAGUCGGCCCCUAAGGCAAGGCUGAAAAGCGUAGUCGAUGGGAAACGGGUUAUUAUUCCCGUACCACCUUAUAGGAGUGAUGGAGGGACGCAGCAGGUUAGCUCAGCCGCCGAUUGGAAAUGGCGGUCUAAGAGUGUAGGCGAUUCCGUAGGUAAAUCCGCGGAUGUUAGCUGAGACUCGAUGGGACAGGGCGACUUCGGUCAAACUGGAUUGAGUGACACUGUACUGCCAAGAAAAGCUUCUAAACGUUGAAUAUAAGGUGACCGUACCAAAACCGACACAGGUAGGAGGGUAGAGUAUACCAAGGCGCGCGAGAGAAAGGUUGUUAAGGAACUCGGCAAAUUAACCCCGUAUCUUCGGAAGAAGGGGUCCUGCCGGAGGCUAGGGACUUGCUCCCGAUGUUUCCAGCAGGCGCAGUGAAGAGGCGAAGGCGACUGUUUAUCAAAAACAUAGCACUAUGCGAACUCGCAAGAGGAAGUAUAUGGUGUGACACGUGACCAAUGCCAAAAGGUUAAGGCAAGGGGUUAGCAUUAGCGAAGCUCUAAACCGAAGCCCUGGUGAAUGUCGGCCGUAACUAUAACGGUCCUAAGGUAGCGAAAUUCCUUGUCGGGUAAGUUCCGACCUGCACGAAUCGUGUAACGAUCUUCGCACUGUCUCAACAACCAUCUCGGUGAAGUUGUAGUUCCGGUGAAAAUGCCGGAUAACCGCGGCAGGACGGAAAGACCCCGUGAACCUUUACUGUGACCUGACAUUGGAUUUUAAUAUUUCAUAUGUAGGAUAGCUGGGAGGCUUUGAAGCAUCUUCGUCAGGAGAUGUGGAGCCAAUGGUGAAAUACCAGUUUUGGCCUAUUGGAAUUCUAACUACGAUCCCCUGAAUCGGGGCGUGGAACAGUGUCUGGGAGUCAGUUUGACUGGGGCGGUUUCCUCCUAAAGAGUAACGGAGGAGCACAAAGGUACCCUCAGCACGGUCAGCAAUCGUGCGAAGAGCGUAUAGGUAUAAGGGUGCUUAACUGCGAGACCUACAAGUCGAGCAGGUGCGAAAGCAGGUCUAAGUGAUCCGGUGGUUGCUAGUGGUAGCGCCAUCGCUUAACGGAUAAAAGGUACUCCGGGGAUAACAGGCUGAUGAUUGCCAAGAGUCCACAUCGACGCAAUCGUUUGGCACCUCGAUGUCGGCUCAUCGCAUCCUGGGGCUGGAGAAGGUCCCAAGGGUUGGGCUGUUCGCCCAUUAAAGCGGUACGCGAGCUGGGUUCAGAACGUCGUGAGACAGUUUGGUCCUUAUCCGCCGUGGUCGCAGGAAGUUUGAAGAGAUUAAUCCUUAGUACGAGAGGACCAGGAUUAACGUGCCUCUGGUGUUCCAGUUGUCGUGCCAACGGCAUCGCUGGGUAGCUACGCACGGGAAGGAUAAGCGCUGAAAGCAUCUAAGUGCCAAGCCCCCUCUAAGAUAAGACUUCCCUUGU
This 1674-nucleotide ribosomal RNA is filed under the name marine metagenome. RNAcentral describes it as "bacterial LSU rRNA". It matches the Rfam family "Bacterial large subunit ribosomal RNA", at positions 1162 to 2819 of the family's 2925-position model. The record is from RNAcentral.